This 867-nucleotide ribosomal RNA is filed under the name Triticum aestivum (bread wheat). RNAcentral's name for it is "partial small subunit ribosomal RNA". Lineage: Eukaryota; Viridiplantae; Streptophyta; Magnoliopsida; Poales; Poaceae. The record is from RNAcentral.
AUGGCGUGGGGCGCGCCCGCGCGGGCGCAGUCGUCGCGGGUGCAGGCCCUCUACGACCUCUGCAGGCGCACCUUCCCCUCCCCCUCCCCCUCCUCCGCCGCCGCCCCGGCCGCCCCUCCGCCGGCCAGCGCCGUCCGCGCCAUAUCCUCCCUCAUGGAUACUAUCAGCCCCGCGGACGUCGGGCUCAGGGACGACAGCCUCGGGGACGGCGGCGGCGGGCACGGGUUCUUCGACUCCACCUUCGUCAAGGGCGCGGCCAGGGCGGCCAGGUGGGCGCAGCCCAUCACCUACCUGCACGUCUACGAGUGCGACGCCUUCUCUAUUGGAAUAUUCUGCUUGCCAACUUCAGCGGUCAUUCCUCUUCAUGAUCAUCCAGGAAUGACUGUACUGAGCAAAAUCCUAUAUGGUUCGAUGCAUGUGAAAUCAUAUGACUGGGUAGAGCCUACUGUUGUAGCGAGUAAUCGACAAGUGAGACUGGCCAAGUUACAUGCAGAUGAUGUUCUUACUGCUCCAUGUCCAACUACCGUUCUGUAUCCCCAAAGUGGCGGGAACCUACACUCCUUCACUUCAGUUGCCUCUUGUGCUGUUCUUGAUGUACUUGCCCCACCAUAUGCUGAAGAUGCUGGUCGAAUUUGCACCUAUUUUAAUGAUUAUCCGUUUUCUAGCUUCUCAAGCGGACGCGCAAAGACAGUUGACAGCCCAGAUAAUUAUGCCUGGAUUGAAGCCAUAAACUCACCUGUGUACAUUAACAUGCGCCCUGGCAUGUAUACUGGCCCGACUGUACAGGUAUCCCUAACUUUAACCUGCUAUAUUCCUCUUUAUCAGCCUUGGUCAUUGCUAAAGAAGAUGCUUGGAUGCAAUUCCUGA